This 434-nucleotide ribosomal RNA is filed under the name uncultured bacterium. Its description in RNAcentral is "bacterial SSU rRNA". It matches the Rfam family "Bacterial small subunit ribosomal RNA", at positions 355 to 786 of the family's 1533-position model. The record is from RNAcentral.
UGAGGAAUAUUGGUCAAUGGGCGGGAGCCUGAACCAGCCAAGCCGCGUGAGGGAGGAAGGCCCUAUGGGUCGUAAACCUCUUUUGUCAGGGAACAAAAGCGAGUAUGUAUACUAGUCUGAGUGUACCUGAAGAAAAAGCAUCGGCUAACUCCGUGCCAGCAGCCGCGGUAAUACGGAGGAUGCGAGCGUUAUCCGGAUUUAUUGGGUUUAAACGGGUGCGUAGGCGGCGGUGCAAGUCAGCGGUAAAAGUCCGGGGCUCAACCCCGGCGAGCCGUUGAAACUGCAGUGCUAGAGAAGGCGAGAGGUACGCGGAAUGCGCAGUGUAGCGGUGAAAUGCUUAGAUAUUGCGCAGAACUCCGAUUGCGAAGGCAGCGUACUGGCGCCUGACUGACGCUGAGGCACGAAAGCGUGGGGAUCGAACAGGAUUAGAUACC